UAUUCGAGAGUGGUCGCCAUGUUCUUCCCAGUCGAAUUAAUUCACGACAACGAUAUUUUCUAAGAACUAUGAUUUAGUUCUUCAUUUUAUGUUUUAAAUGUGCGAGAGAUACUCAGUUUCAUAGAUAAUUAGCGGUUAAUGUAUAUUUUGAUGAAAAUUAAAAUAUUUUCAAAUAGUUUAUCGAUUGAAAACGAGUUAAUUUUAAAUACGCUGUAACCAAAUAUGAUCGAACUUGAUUGGUCGAAAUGCAGUUUGAAAAAUCUCGUGCCUAUCUGAAUCGUCGAAUAAUGAACUUCGUAGUGACAACGGGUUUCCUUUAGAUCUAAUCUAAAAGUGUCUAGCAGAUUUGUUAUCAACUUCUCAAGAUGCAACAAUGAAACCGGUUUCCAUCGUAAUUGGUGUCGGACACCACGCAUACCGUCCGUUUAUUCCGCAAUGUUCGGAUCUCAAUUCCACGGAGAUAAUCCUGAAAGUAUCUGCAAAGGUGAGGGAAGGAGAUACCAUUAUCGAUGCAUACCGGCUCACCCAAUAAAACGUUGGUAGCUUACAGCCCUGGAUCGUCAUUCUGCACGUCCGUGGAUGAAACUCUUGGAGAAAAGCAAGAGAUGCUGCAGUUCACUCUACUUCUCUCUUCCUCUCUCGUCCAGUACGUUCUCUUUCUCCACUGACCAACAGCAACGGAAUAAAUAAAGUAAAUAGAGGAAUAUAGGAGGUAAAUAAAAAAUGUGGCAGCAGAGAAGAGAGACAGAGAAAGAGAGAGACAGAGACAAGGAGAGAGAGAGAAAGAGAGAGAGAGGGGAGUGUGUGCGAGGAAGGAGGGAGGGAGGUAAGGAGAAAAAGAGAGUUAAAGGGAAAGAAGGAGAGAAAAGAAGAGAGGAAGGGAGAGUGCCCUCAGGGCGAAUUCCCGUCGAGCAUCGGCCGCUGCAGAAUCCAGAGGUGCGUUCACCGGGGAAAUCCCUCCCUCGGAGAUUAUCCUCUUGAAGAAAACUCGACGGCUGUGCAUUUUUAACGCGCGUCGUGUACGACCGCGUGUUCCUUUAUUUACCAUUGCGUUUUCUUAAGCGCACUUCACUCUUCUUUCGUCGCAUUUUUAGGAAAGUCAUAUUUACGUUUAGGCAAAACUAACGAUAGAUUGUACACUUGGAAUUGUAGAAGAUAAACGAGACAAAGUUGUACAUUUGAAACUUUUUUAAUCGAUGGACGAACACGUAAAAUGUGAAAGACAGUUUCACUCGUCAGCUUAAAUUUAAUAUUACUAUUAUUACGUGAUAUAGGUGGAUUUAAUAGGUGAAGCGAAUGAUAAUAAUUAUUAUAACUUUAUUUGGUUAUUCGUUUUAUUAAUUUUGAUCGAGUUAUAAAAUUGAUUAUCAUACGGUAAUUUCGACUUUUUGGAAGAGAGUCCAAAAGGAUGGCAUCCGAUACAACAUCGAUAUAAUAUAUUUAUCAUAAAAUAAACAAAGUACUCCGUUUAGAUUCAUUCUUACGCUGUUGCGUACAAACGAUAGGCAUCUACCGAGAAAAACUCUGCUGGCCGAAAUUACGGCCCAUUAACACGACGAGAGACGAAACGCCACAAGGAUCGCAGUUGAUCAGGACUAGAUCUGAACAAUGGUAUUUGAACGAGACCGGAAACUAGGUUCCCGUAACCAAUUUGAAAGUUCGAGAAGAAGUCAAAAAGGAUAGAAUCGGCGAUGACGAAUUCAACCACACAGAGAAGCGAUCGCUCGUACCGUAACGUACGACAUAUCUUUUCUCAGAAAUCAUCUCGAAGCGAUCUACCAGUGAACGGUCGUCUUUCUCUUUCUGUCUCUCUGUCGAGUCGGGCCGGCCUCUCGUGUGUCCCUGUUGCGUUAGUUGGCCAGGUCGGUGCCAGGGAGUCUACCAGCGAUAACCAGCUGCGCGUCGUACCGGUAGACUGCCUGCUGCCUCCGGCUGCUCCGGGGACCCUGGGACCGGUUAUACUUGACCCAGCGGUUUACACGCGCUUGCCGCCGUCAGCACCACCACCGCCGAGGCCGGAUCGCACCGCUACCGAAACACGUACCUACAUUGCCUGGACAAACUCCACCACACUCGGCUAGUUUCUUCUCUUUCUCUCCCUCUAUUCCUCCAGCUUUCUCUCUUUUCUAUCUUUUUCUCUCUCGCACGAUCAACGAUCUCCGU
Molecule: long non-coding RNA, 2163 nt
Organism: Bombus pyrosoma
Lineage: Eukaryota; Metazoa; Arthropoda; Insecta; Hymenoptera; Apidae
Exons: 2
Source: RefSeq, a predicted model, not a curated record